AGCCGCGGGCGGGCGAACCACGGCACGGUCCGAUCCCGUCAGGUCUAAUAUAAUGCGUUUCUCUUAGAACCAGGGUACCACAAGGCACGGCGCAUCAUCGCCCCCUGCAUCCACCUCCCAGCUGGCCGCACGCCGCGGAGAAAAGCUAACAAGUCCGAGCCUGGGCAACGUUAGGAGCCCUGCAAAGGCGUGUUGCUUCAGCUCCACGGGUCUACACACUUCCCGGCGCCAACACUGAACUUUGGCUCAAACUUUGGGUAGCUACCCCCACGCGAAAAGGCUCGACCACCUGGGCAUCCACAGGGUGGGCUAACUGGGUCCCAACAUUCAACUCACUCCCCUCCGACCCCUGUGCUGGGUCAGCCAUUGGGCUGGGGUCACGCCAAUCAAGGCUGCCUGGCGAAUGAGCAGGGGGCGUUGGACCGGAAACCGGAUAUGGGUGGGAGGUCCAAUAGGGGGCGCCGCGUUGGAACGCCCUAAGAGGUUAUGCUGCGGGGGUGAUUUUAAGGCCUUGGGGGGCGCGUGUAUGGCGACUAGGCCACGAGGACCGAUGGCGCCCUGAGGUCACUCAGCCUGACGCCAUAGGUCGCAAAGGCCGGGUGAAAUCGGGGGCUCCCGGGGCCAAACCUCGGCCUCGCUGAUGGCGGUGGGCUAACCUACCCAACAGAGGGGGUCGCCACCGCCAGGGCGAGGCGAGGAGAAAGAAGAUUUUCAGGGCCUGGAGGUAGAGGGCCGGGGCCCUGAGGAGAGGGCUUACUGCGAGGAGCGCCAAGGAUGGAUAAGGGGUUGAGGCCCCGGGGAUGCUGAGCCCUGCGGAAGUGAAAGUGACUGGCUACCAGAAUCUGAAAACCCUAAAUCCUUUUGGUGACAGGGGUUAAGAGCUGAAACUGCACUGCACAUCAGCACUAGGGCUCCAGACACACCAGAGGUGUGGCCAGAUGUGUGAAGCAACUGGUGGCCUGGCCGCAGGGAUCUGAGGAACCUGAUAAGGGGUCUCGCACAAACAGCCCAGGACCUUUCCAGCCAAGCUGAUGCAGCCCCGCCCGCCGCCUGACCAGCUGCGCCAGAAGGAGAGUAGCCUGGUGGGGGUUCCUAGGGCCCCUUUACCCCGGAUACCUCUUGGACCCAAUACCAGUCCCAGCUGUUCCAUCCUGCUCUAGGGGCAUUGGUGUCUCUGGAGUCUUCAGCAGCUGGGCCACCUGGGAGGCUCUGGGACUUUCUGGUGUGGUGCCACUGUGCCUCAUCAGUGCCACCUCCCAGGUUUGAAACCUGUGGCACUUCAGCUUCUUCUGAGUGAAAGUUUAACCUUUGCCCCCUGAAGGAAAGGUUUGCUAAGUGAAGAGAAUUUGGGGAAUAAGAUCCUUGUGGAGGGUGUGUUGUCCGUUCUUUGGUGUCAGCUGUGGCAUGAGUGUUGCAGACCCCAUACUGGUGAGGGAGGCCUCAGCGAGCUCUAGGAUUUGGCUGGAUCAACACUCGCCUGCAGCCCUUUCUCAGAGAUACUGCCAACAGACUGCACCGGAGAUGGGUGAGGGGUAGAGCCCCCCUCGGAAGAGCUGUGGCACAAGAACUGGCUAACAGAUGAGACGGUGAUGCCGCUUUAUGGGAUAGUUAAACGCACACGAUCUCGAAACUAUGAAUACACUGCAGAAGCACACAGGAUUCUAGAGGAGCAGGCAUGGUGGUUUCUCCUAACCGGGGCAUAGAGGAUUCCAGGGCUGUGGGCGAUAUUUUCAGAGUCGCUGUCCCUAAGAAGCAGCACUCACGGCCCCCAGCUCUCCCGUUUGCCUUCAAAAUACCCGAAGAGGCCACUCGUUUGGAGCUGGGCACAGCGUGGGCUUCCUCGCAUGAGCUCUUUGAUAAACAUCUCCCCGUUUGUCAAUUUCUCUCUGCCAGAAAGCCUGGUUAAUCCUUCCUCCCAACUUUCAUUUAGGCUUUGGACCUGGAGCUUGUGGAAGGCAAAUUCCUGGGGAACCAGCGUUUCUGGCAGACUUGUAGAAGAAGUUUCCAGAAGGUCAGGAGUCAGCCAUCUUUUUCAGGUUUUAAGACAACCCUGAAAACCGGUGCGGGAGCCUCCUAGAGGUGGAACAGACACGGCAGACUCUGUUGCAAUAAACCCCCGCAGCCGCCCCGUGGGAAACAGAGAAGAACCCAGCUUCCCACGAAUGCUGACUGCGCGGACUGCCCACGCGUGGUCUCAGGGCCCUUGCCCGGCGGGGUGGAGCAGCACCCAGCUUCUGAAGCCCAACCGGGUCGCCCCAAGAAGGCGUUCUAGAAAAGCAACCUCCUGGGUCUCCUGGUGCCGUCGGUUUCCCCCCUCACCCUGGGCGGCACCUGCUCCUGCAGAUGUGCUCGCAGCUGGCCGUACCCUGCCUGCGGCAGGAGCAUUGGCCCCGUGUGCCCCUUCCCUGUGCUGGGGGCCCUUACCCUGCUUUUUUGCCUUUUUUUUUUUACUGCGGCAGCACUUAUGCCUGUUGCACCUUCGUGGCCUUUGUUCAUCGUCUCUUUCUUGGCCUGCAGUGGAUGAAGUCGAACUAAAUUAAAUUGCUGCUCUUGCAGGUCAGAGACAGACAGAUAUCGGCAAUUUCGUGUGUUUCCACGGAAUCCAGUCAAUGGGUCUGGGGCUUGCUUUGGUUCCCUGCUGACGCGCAGUAACUAGAACAGAGCCCGCCCCGAGCCAGCCCUCCGUCCACGCUGCGGGAUGCGUGGAGAAAAGCAGCCAUUUAGGGGCUUGGGACGCCGACCCCGGCGGUCAGCCCUGGGGCCAGAACACAGAGACCCUAAGGGUACUCCAGCUGCCAGAACACAGAGACCCUAAAGGCACUCCAGCUGCCCGUAGGGCCGGCCGCUCCCUCUUCCCACGCGAGCCUCCCACGCCUGAGCCGGGCACAGGAAGACGCCUCUCCAGGCCCUGCCGUCGCCUCGCUAAUGGUGGAUGUUCUGGCGGCAGAGGAGGCGGGUGGGGAGGGCCUGGGACAUCGCGUCCGGCGCCCCCGCCCGCUCGCGUGGGAGCCCACUGCCGCCAUCCUCGCAGGAGGACGUGGGCGAGCAGCGCAGGGCCGGGGACGGGUUCGGGGGCGCGGGGCCCGGUGGGCUGUGUGUGCCCGAAGACGACCAUUUUAUACACCAGAGUCUAAUGAAGGUCGCAGGUGAAUGUGAAUGGAACUAAUGAGAAAAUAAUUAUCCGAGCCGGGAAGGCAUGGAGGCUCUGGGAGCUGCGAUUUCUGUGCUAAUGGAAAUGUGACGAGGGGAGGGGUGCCGCCCGCAACUUGUGCUUUCCUGAACUUGAAGUUUCUGCCUGGGAAAGUUCUGGGGUGGGGGAAACGGGAGGCCGGCCGCCGGAAUUCACGGAAUUCAUCUCAGCUUGCCUGGGAACCCGCCCCCUCCCCUUCCUUUGUCCUGAGUGGGGCAGACGGAGACACUGCUAACCUGGGGGUGUCCCCGGUGCCCCCCGGGAGUCGGUGCUUCCCACUAAUGGCGCGAUGUGGGAUCAGGCCAGGUGACCCCUCCUCCCAGGACACCCCCCUCGGCCGUUGCAAAAGGCUUGGUGGGGGUGGGGCGCUGUCCAGAGAGGACAGGCAGGAGGCAGCCAGGGCCGUGGCCACGAAGGGGAGGUCUGGGCUCCUCUUCCGAGUUCUGCUGCCAGGGCCCUCGAUCUCAGGUAAGGCCGCCCGAUUGUUUCGGGAGAGGAAGGGACAUUCCACCAAUCGAACCGACAUCUGUGCCCAGAGAUUUCAAUAGCUCCAGCCUUCUUGGCGGGGUUCACCUAUUGUUUCUUGCAACCUGGCUGCUGGGUAGAUAAGGCUGCAGCCCUGAAACUCCACCCGCCCAGCCCCCAGCCCUCCCCCGUCUCCUGGACGCCAGGACAAUUAUGGAAUAUAAGAACUAUACCCUGGUGACACUCCCAGCGUUUGUAGGGGCCAGCAGAGUAACAAAGAUUGCAAAUUCAGGUCAUUUCCGCAGACCCCGCGCACAUUUCUUAGGGACCUAAAUUGCGACUGAGAUUGUGUUGCGAGAGAGGAACAUCCAUCUUCCCCUUGCUCCUCUUAGCAAGGCCUCAGGUUCAGCCUUGGGUCUACAAAUUGCCCUUGUAAGGCUGCAGAUACGUUAACUUGCCUAAUUUAGCAUUUUCUUCGCCCUGGGCUGGGGGGGGAGGGGCAGAAGCGGAGCUUGGCCACUCUGUUCCAUGGACCUUGGAAAACACAGAUUCCCAGGCCCUGCCCCAGACCUGCUGGUUUUGAGUCCCCAGGCAUAAGGUUGGGCACUUGUGUUCUGACAACAGCGCCACCUCCCCCAAGCCAGCCUCGGAGACACUGGCCUGUGGAUAAUUCCAAGAUGGAUUCUUCAUUCAAAAGGAUUCAGGAGAGAUUUGAGGUUGAGUGGUGAGCAACAGAGUUGAUUUGCAUGGGGUGGGGAGCGAGAAGUUUUCCACUACCUUGAGACUUGCUCUCCAAACGACUUGAGGCUGUAAUUAUACAUGCAAAGUGAAGCUAAAAUUUCAGAGAAGUAUCUGGAGAAUUCAAGUCAGAAGAAGCAUGUUCCUCUGAAAUACCUAGAUAAUGAAAGAAAAAAUAUAUUCAUUGCAUAAAUUGCUCAUUAAUUCACUCCUCUGUGGGGGCACACAGCUUAAAAGCAGACGCUUUGAUUAAUCCAAGCUAUAUUAAAUCCUCAAGAUGCUUCCCCGCCCCCAUGCCUGGAUAUUCAUAUUUCUUUCCUCUAAAAAAUCAUAAAUAAAGUUGUCCUUUUGCAAAAAUGCAUUUCAGAUUUGGCUUAGCAGAAUGAGCCCUAUAGUUGUUAGAAUCAAUUUGGGUGCACUUUUUCAUUUUUAAGUACACAUUUUGAAAUCAGAUGCAUUCUUUCCAAUUCACUGGAAAUGCUAAUUUUUUUUUCCAUCACAUUUCAAAGUUACAUUAUGUGUGGCUAAGUGAAUAACACCCAGCACAAUAGCACUUCAGAAAGACUGAGGACGGACAGGAUCCCAAUCAGAAGGAAAGCUAGGGAAAUGGUUAAUUUCAAUGGUAGGCAACUGAUUGGGAAAAAGAAUCUAUAGAAUUAUUUAUUUCCUUUAAAAAAAAAAAGAAACCCAAAAAAUUCAAAAAUGACUCGGAAAGAACAAGAGUCUAAUCCUGGCAGGUUGAUUUCUUAAGGCCUCUUAAUGAAAUCUCGGCAGAUCUGCUCCCCGCCCGCCGGCUGUGGGGCUGUGGGGUCCUGGGGUUCGCUGUCUUUUUCUCCGUGAGCCGCUUCACACAGGUACAGAGGAUGAUCAGUCGUCUACCUGGCUUUUCUGCUGCUGACUUGCCCGUCCCCACACCCGAGGCGAGCUCUCUGGGAGGCAGGCCAGCCCGUGUGGGAAGCCUCUUACAGGUAAACAGAGUCAUACGGGGACUGUGGUGCCAUCCUCUCGCCCUUUUACAAAAUAGCCUUUUUGUGGCUUGAUGCAGCAAGAGUCCCUGGGCACCUUCCUGGGGACCAGUGUUAAGUACUUUGUGACGCUGUGAUGCCUGUUUCACAAAGCUCGGGAGGAGGGCAGAGACAUCCUGUAUAAAAAAACAAAAAGCCCUUUGUGGUGAGUAAGGGAGGUAGAUAAACACAAUCUAUUUUGGGGCGCUUGGGGAUACUCCUUUCCAUUCAAUUAACACGAUGAUAGAUUAUUCCGAUCACUGGUGGAAUUGGUCCCCAGAUUCGGGAUUUUAGAGACCAGUAAAAAUAAUCAUAAUAAUUAGCAGAGGAGAUGGCAACUUUUUAUUUUUAUCAAGAAGGAGCAUAAAAAAGCAACCACCUUCUAAGGCCACGUCUUAUAAAAACAAGGGCAUUUGCACUCCCUAAGAGCAAACGUAAGCAAGAAGGGCUGGCUCUCAGGAGUGAUGGGAUAAUGUAUUAACAGGGC
This is a non-coding RNA of Microcebus murinus (gray mouse lemur), 5884 nucleotides long. The record is from RefSeq and is a predicted model, not a curated record. Lineage: Eukaryota; Metazoa; Chordata; Mammalia; Primates; Cheirogaleidae.